AUUGAACGCUGGCGGCAGGCCUAACACAUGCAAGUCGAGCGGAUGAAGGGAGCUUGCUCCUGGAUUCAGCGGCGGACGGGUGAGUAAUGCCUAGGAAUCUGCCUGGUAGUGGGGGAUAACGUCCGGAAACGGGCGCUAAUACCGCAUACGUCCUGAGGGAGAAAGUGGGGGAUCUUCGGACCUCACGCUAUCAGAUGAGCCUAGGUCGGAUUAGCUAGUUGGUGGGGUAAAGGCCUACCAAGGCGACGAUCCGUAACUGGUCUGAGAGGAUGAUCAGUCACACUGGAACUGAGACACGGUCCAGACUCCUACGGGAGGCAGCAGUGGGGAAUAUUGGACAAUGGGCGAAAGCCUGGUCCAGCCAUGCCGCGUGUGUGAAGAAGGCCUUCGGAUUGUAAAGCACUUUAAGUUGGGAGGAAGGGCAGUAAGUUAAUACCUUGCUGUUUUGACGUUACCAACAGAAUAAGCACCGGCUAACUUCGUG
RNAcentral lists this ribosomal RNA (484 nucleotides) under uncultured bacterium. Its description in RNAcentral is "partial 16S ribosomal RNA". It matches the Rfam family "Bacterial small subunit ribosomal RNA", at positions 30 to 507 of the family's 1533-position model. The record is from RNAcentral.